UAUCUUUGUGUUUGAGAGGGUGUGAUAGUAAGAUACAUGGACUUGAUGAGGAAGACAAAAAGUAGAGUGAGAAUUGGUGAGGAAUAGAGUGAGACAUUUUAGACAAGUAAGGAGGUAAAGCAGGGAGAUCCACUGAGCCCUUCCUUAUUUAACAUUUUAACCGCGGACAAAUAUAUAGGAAAGGAAAAGUAGGGAAAGGUAAAGUUGAAAGGGAAAAAGAUAUACACGCUGGCCUACGCAAACAGUAUGGUGCUGAUAGCGGAGGAGGAGGACGAGAUAAGGGCAAUAAUAACAAGAUUUGAAAGAUAUAUAAGGGAGAAGAGAUUAAUAAUAAACGUGAGGAAAUCACAGAUAAUAAGAUUUGGAAAGAGGGGGGGGGCAAGGUGAGUUGGAGAUGGAAGGAAAAGGUGAUAGAAAAAGUAAAGAAAUUUAACUACGUAGGGUAUAUGUUCCAAAGUAAUGGUAAGCAGGAUGAGCAGAUAAGGAAUAAAGUGAGCAGAGAAGGGAAAUGACAGUACUAGGACAAGUUUGGGGGAUAGAAAAAAGGAAGUUUGGAGGGGACUGAGAAAACAGGAUAUGGCUUUUCGAUGCACUGGUUUGGACGGUGAUGACGUAUGGAACAGAGAUCUAAGAAAAGAAAGAGAGGGAAAUGGUGGAGAAGAUGCAGGAGAGAUAUUUGAAAUAGAUACUGGGGUAAGUUAGAGAGUGCCGGAAUAUUUAUUAAAGGAGGAACUGUUACAAAAUAAACUAAGAACAAAAGCGGGAAGGAGGGCUUGGGGAUUUGAAGAAAGAUUUGCGGAGGGGAGAAGACGUGAAUGCGAGAAGAUGUUUGGAGAAAAUGAAAGAAAGAGCGCAAAGAGGAGAAGAAAUGUCGGAAUAGGACAAAAAAAGGUUUUUUCAAAGAUAGGGGAAUAAAAGUGAAGAAAAUGGAGAAAGAAAAAGAGGGACGAAGUGUGUGACUUUUGCAGAGAGAAGAAGAGGAAUAGAGAAAGGUAAAGAGAGGUAAGGUGGAAAAGAAUUAAAGGAUCGAAGGGGAAUAAAUAGUACCAAAAAAUUAAAGGAGGAGUACCGGGAUAUUUAAGAAAAAAAUGGGCAGAAAAUAGGUGGAACACGGUAGCUAAAUAUAGAUUAGAGGAGGGAGAGGAGCUAUUGGGCAAGUAAAAAAGACAGGAAAUGCAGGAUGUGUAGAAUGAAGGAGUCAUAGGAACACGUAUGAGAAGAAUGUGGAAGUUGGGGGGAAGAAGGGAGCUGGGAGGAGAUGGUAUAGAAAGUGUUAGAAGAGGAUGGAGAGAAAGAGAGGAAUAGUUGAGGAAGCUAGAAAAAUUCAGAGAGAAAGGAGGGAUGGAAAAGAGUAAGGGGAGGGAGAGAUGGGAGGAGUAAUAAGAGAGAGUGGGUGAGAUGGAGAGUAUAAGGGGAAGAGUGUGGAAGGGAAUGAGUGGAAAAAGGAGAAUGAAAGAAAAAACAGGAAAGUGUGUGUGUGUGUGUGUGUGUGUGUGUGCGCGCGCGCACGCGU
Long non-coding RNA from Solenopsis invicta (red fire ant), 1513 nucleotides. RefSeq lists it as uncharacterized. The transcript is spliced from 3 exons. The record is from RefSeq and is a predicted model, not a curated record. NCBI's taxonomy places the organism in Eukaryota, Metazoa, Arthropoda, Insecta, Hymenoptera, Formicidae.